Molecule: long non-coding RNA, 923 nt
Filed under: Equus asinus (donkey)
Lineage: Eukaryota; Metazoa; Chordata; Mammalia; Perissodactyla; Equidae
Description: lncRNA (ENSEASG00005030188.1)
Source: RNAcentral
AGUGGUUCUGAAGCUUUAGCAGGCAUUAGAAUCACCUGGAGAGCUUGUUCACGGCAGAUUACUAGGUCCUAGCCUCAGAGUUCCUGAUCCCGUAGGUCUGGGGUAAAACCCAAGAAUUUGCGUUUCAAGCAAGUUCCCUGGUGAUACUAAAGCUGCUCGUCUAGAGAUGAUGCUUUGUGAACCAAACCAUGUCAUCGCUGACAUUUUGAGACGUUACAGCAUUGGAUUCGAAAACUGAAAAUUAGACAAGGAACCUGAAUUGCAGCGCCAAGAGAGAAGUAUGGAUUCCAGAUGUUGAUUUUGGAAUCAUCAGUAGAGGAUGUUUACUGAAACAUGUGAACGGAAGUGUUUUCUCCAGAAGAGAGAUUAAAGAAUGAAAAUAGAGGUCUAUGGGGAGAGAAUCCUUGAAAGGAAACUGAGAAGUACUGAAGAAAGUUGUAUGUAUGUAGGAGGAAACCCAGAUGAGAGUCGUGUCCGAAAAACUGCGAGAGAAGGAGUUGAGGAAGGGGAGGGAGUGGCCCAUAUGUCACAGGCUGGAGAGAAACCUUCAGAAAUAAAAACUGAAAUGUGGCCCAUGUAUUUCAUGAAUUUAGCAGCUAGGUCUCUGGGUCCGUGGCAGAAGCAGUUUCCUGAACUGGUGGAGACAGUCAGCUUACAAGGCACCAAGGAGUGAACAGAACAUGCAAUGAUAGGAAAUAAGAACCUUUGUUCCUAAGGAUAAAAAGAUAAGGUCGUAUCCAGAGGUGGGACUGUGGAUUGUCAAUGUUGUUGUUUUAAGAAGGCAAAUAUUUGAGUAUGCUUAUGAAAGAAAAGGCUAUUGUGGUGAGGGGGAGGUUGAAAUGGCAGGGUAUGGGAGUGAGAGCCUAACAAUGGAUUUCGUUAUCUACAGUAAAGCUGUGCAUUGUGGUCGGCAGAGCCAUGCC